This 253-nucleotide ribosomal RNA is filed under the name uncultured bacterium. Its description in RNAcentral is "partial 16S ribosomal RNA". It matches the Rfam family "Bacterial small subunit ribosomal RNA", at positions 524 to 776 of the family's 1533-position model. The record is from RNAcentral.
UACGUAGGUGGCAAGCGUUGUCCGGAUUUACUGGGCGUAAAGAGCGCGCAGGCGGUUGUCCAAGUCGGGUGUGAAAGCCCCCGGCUCAACUGGGGAGGGUCACGCGAUACUGGUCGACUCGAAGGCAGGAGAGGGUAGUGGAAUUCCCGGUGUAGAGGUGAAAUGCGUAGAUAUCGGGAGGAACACCAGUGGCGAAGGCGACUACCCGGCCUGUUCCUGACGCUGAGGCGCGAAAGCUAGGGGAGCAAACGGG